GAACCAACAGCCGCCGCGGCGGGAGCUGGCUCCGGUGGCCGGAGGCGGGUCUUUCCUUUCCCGCAGAUCCCGCAAACGCUCCGCUCCCUGGAGCCGCUGCCUUCAGUGCGCUCAGACCCUGGAUGUUAAGGUUCACGAGGGCGCCAGCUGGCGCCGGGAGAAGUAGCGACGCCCCCACCUAUCAUCUUCCCAAGGCAGCGCCUGGGGGCCACCAAGACCGAAGCGCAGUUGGAGCGCGAGCGCGAGCCGGAGAAGCGCGGACGCAAGCUGCCAGCGCGGGGCCCGCCGGAGCCCGAGCGGCUUCCGGCCCAAAGGGAGACGCACUUGAGUGAUCGCGAGGAGCAAACUUGGCGCUCUCGGCCCCGGGCCCCGGAGAGGUGAGAGAUUCCGGCUGCGCUCCUCUCCUCCCUUCCAAGGCCGAGACCCCGCCACACAUCCUCUUGCGGCGCCACGGGACUCCAGACGCGGGAGUGUGUGCGGGAAGACCCGGGAGCGCGUCGCCCGCCUGUCGGGCUUUCCCCGAAGCUUCUCUGCGGCGCUCUGGCCGCAUUCCGGGAGCCCGGACCGAGCCAUCGCUCUGAGUUUGCCUGUACUCCGCCCUUUUUCGUCUUUGUAUCCGUUUGUCUUGGGCUCAGUGACUCUGUGUCUCUCGCCUUCAGUGAAUCUCUGCCUCCGUUUCCAGUGGAAACCCUGCGUUUGUCUGGGUGUCUCUGGGGGUCGAGAAUCCCUCGUUCAAUUUCCCCCACCCCCCAGUCGCACUGCAGGGCUGCCCCCCCCCCCCACUUUCUGGCCGGCCCCGGACCCUUAGGCUCUACGGACCAGCAGCAGGACCCCCACAGAGACCUUCCUCAAUGAACCCUGACCUCAGCCCUGGGCCAGCGUUGCCUCAUCUCUCAGGAUCCUGUGCACACAAGCCCAGGGGAAAGCGGCGAAACCUGCGCAGCCGCCCCCACUUCCCCUUCCCCCAUCCGGCUACAGCUCUGGGGCGAGACAGUUGUUGGGCCGAAGCCGGGACGUCUCUCGAUCCCUUCCUCCACCCGGAUCUCCGCCUGCUCCAGAGCGAUUGGCUUCCCGGGCCCGGGCGGGAGGCGGGAGACUCCAGAUCCGGAGACCUGCAAGGACGAACGUCAGGCGGCGGGGCUACCCCCACACAGGAGCCGGGCUGCGGGUCAGAGUUCAGAGAGAGGUCGGACCCACUGCUUGCACAGAAAUGACCGAGCUCCCAGCGGGUGCGCCUUCACCGCCGUCGACCACCUGCCCUGCCCGCUGUUGCCCACACCUCGCGUACCCUCCACUUCUCGGAGGAAACGUCUUUCUCUCCUUUCACCCUGCCUGGCCACGGUCACCUCCCAGCACCCCUACCCUGGGACUUCGUAGUGGGGGGGCUCGCUUGAGGCCCUACGGCCUCAGCACCGCGCGGCGGCUGAGACCUGAGCGAGCUGCGGAGCCUGCGGACUCUGGUUCGUGGGAAGAGGGUUGCGGGCCCAGGGUGAAAACAGCACGGCCCCGCAGCCGCCGGACCUGGGGCUCUGGCUUCCCGGCGACCGCAUUGCCACAGGCUUCCCCCUCGCCUGAGAGACACGCAGCUGGGGGCAGGGGUCAAGGGGACGCUUCCAGGUGUGUCAGAGCGUCAGCCUCAGGGGUAAGUGCCCCUACUGUCUAAGUGCGUCCUGGGUUUCUGGGCCCGGGGGUCUGUUUUUCUGUCCGCGUGUGUGUGCCCUUCCGGACGGUGGUGGCUCUGUGUCCGACCGGCGCCUGUCCCGAGUGCUAUCCUGCCAUCCGCACGAUUGAGGGGACUGCCCUGGAAGCCUUGCGAUCCAGGCCCACAGCUCUACCCCAGAGCCCGAAGCGGCGCGACCUCGUGGGAAUUGCGAACCCACCCCAGGCCCACCGCGUGACCCUGGCGGGGAAGGAGGAUGUGUGGGUGCAAACCUGGGUACGGGUUUGGGACUACAGCCGGGAGAGAGAGGAGAGCGUACGGUCACGGCGCUGCGGAGAGCCAGGAGACUAGCGGCGGCCUCCUGCCCACCCCAUUGCACGUCGGCCGCUGGAGCAGCAAGACCUCGGACCCGGACGCAAUUCGGCAGCCCUGAAGUGGGGCAAGACUGGAGGGAAGGGAGGAGGGGGCCCAGCCGCCCGAACCCGGUGACCGACGCAACGCACACGCACACACGCCGUCGCCUUUAGCCUUUCGGAGGCCCAGAGUAGAUCAAUUCUUGGCAGCUGGGACUGCCUACCAUAACCCCAUUCCAAGCCCCCCUACAACGGGGCAGCUACCAAGAGCUGCCAAGAAGAAUGGAGGAGGACGGGAGACCUGGGAGCGCUUCCAAGGAGAGGUGGUAACUGCAGCUAGUUUUCCUCUUCCACACUAAGCAACUGGGUUCCCCACUGGAGCAAGUGACUUUCAGCCACCAGAAGCAACUCCCAGCCCAAAACAGCAUCCGAAUGCAUCCUGGCUUCCUUCCCUGGAUUUCCUGCUCCUAUCAGAUGUGCAAAAUUUCUCCCACAAUUUACCUCAACUGAAACAAAGAAAUAAACCAAGAAAAAAGAUGAGGUGGAAUCCAGGAAGCAGAGAAUCCAGCGCUGGACAGAAGGGAGGGAAUUUCAAGGAAUCCCAAGGAUAACACUGAUGAGAAAUUUCAGGUCCACAUCUGUGCAGCAGACAUGGAGAGCAGUCAGCUCAUACUGGAUCUGGAAGACAGAGAACUCUAAGAGAAAUACUCCCAGGAAAGGAAGAAUACAACCACCAACAGCAAUGACAGACUUCCUGAUAAGUUUGACCUCAUGAAAAAGUAUACCCCAAUGCUUUCGGAAAAUACAGGAAGAUUUAGCCAUAGGGACAAAGAAAGCUAGGCAAAUGAAAAAAUAAGGCAUUGACUCCAGGAAAAGUUAAAAGUUGCACCAAAAAAAAAAAAUUUGUAGUCAUGAUGCACUAGCAGCUUAUCUGAGAACAAUAUUCAUGUGGUAACAGAAUGUAAAUGCUAAAAGCUGAUGGUUUGGGCAGGGAUGGAAAGAAAUAAUGAUUUUAGAGGUAAAUGAUUAUUAUGAUAGGAAAUUAAUCAUUUCUGUUUCAAGAGAACAGAAAUGUGGAAGUAUAUUCCAAAAGAGACAAACAGGAAUUGAAAGUAAAUGCUUCUAGGGAACAAAACAGGGAUCCUGACAGUAGGCAAGGCACUCUCAUAGGCCUUUGCUAUUUGACUUGUUAGAUUAUAUGCUUGUUUCGAUUUAAUAAAAACAAAAAUUAAGUGUCAAAAAUGUGUCUUCAGAUUAAAGAUAGGUUCUAGUUUUCUACAAGGAUGAAGGGGGGAGUAUUUGCUUAAGGUUCCUAAAGGCUCUAUUCAGAUUAUUUUCCCCUAAAAGGGGGAAGAGAGAAUCAUAUUGAAAUCUUACUUCUAGAUAAGUGGUUGGCACUUGUAAAGACAAGAGUUGAAUUAGGGCUUUUGUUUUUGUUUGUUCAACAUCUACCAAGGUGUCAAAAUUCUUAGGGCAUUCUAUGACAUGUAGCAUAUUCUGUGAGGGCAUAAACAGAUUCUGUAUUGGCCUCACAGCCCAGCACAGGGCCCGGCACAUAGCAAGCCCGACACUGUUGAAUAAAGGAAAAUUAA
Lynx canadensis (Canada lynx) is the source of this 3605-nucleotide long non-coding RNA. RefSeq lists it as uncharacterized. NCBI's taxonomy places the organism in Eukaryota, Metazoa, Chordata, Mammalia, Carnivora, Felidae. The transcript has 4 exons. The record is from RefSeq and is a predicted model, not a curated record.